ACCAGACUAUUGUAAUUCCUUAUUAUCAAGACGUCCCAAUAAUUCUCUUAAACAUCUCCUUUUGAUGAAGCUUACUGCUGGCAAAGCUGACUAUACUGUUCUCACUACGUGUUGUAUACGCCCAGUAUGUUAACGUAGAUUAACAGCAAGCCAAACUCGAUUUUACGAGCCAGGAUCAGAGCGUCUUGCUCCCUUUAUUCAAGAUGACUCAUGAAAUUACGAGUGAAACUGUAACAACAAGAAGAAAAAAACAAGAAGAAUGUUCACAAUCACUGUAUAAGUUCCUUAAUUUGGACAGAUCAAAACUAAGCUCCAACAUCAGCUUUAAUAUAUACAUUGUACUGCAAUGAACUAGUGAGGUAAAUUAUUAACAAGAUAAAUGCCGACUGAUGGUCCAAUUUAUGCCACUAGAUGGCGGUAUUGUCAUGCUGAACAACAUAGCCAAGCUAACAUGUGUCAGAGCUAACAGCACAAAGUUACAAAACGAUCUCUAAAAACACACAUAAGGCACUUAAAAGUAUUGCAAUUGUAUGACUUUAACUUCCAAACAACUUAUUACUUACUGCCAUUGCUUUCUGGAGCAUGAGAAGGUUUGAGGAGAGAGGACGGAUUUCGCCCGUCUGCAUCAACUACGCAGCUUCUUAUCAGCAGUUUCCGACAAUUUACAGCAAUGCGCUGCGGCUUCCACAAAAAGCCCCUUCAAAAUAAAAUACUAAAAUGCUG
Long non-coding RNA from Stegastes partitus (bicolor damselfish), 723 nucleotides. RefSeq lists it as uncharacterized. NCBI's taxonomy places the organism in Eukaryota, Metazoa, Chordata, Actinopteri, Pomacentridae. The transcript is spliced from 2 exons. The record is from RefSeq and is a predicted model, not a curated record.